Syngnathoides biaculeatus (alligator pipefish) is the source of this 957-nucleotide long non-coding RNA. RefSeq lists it as uncharacterized. Lineage: Eukaryota; Metazoa; Chordata; Actinopteri; Syngnathiformes; Syngnathidae. The record is from RefSeq and is a predicted model, not a curated record. The transcript has 3 exons.
AGCAAGGCCUACAUUGGACAACAAGGUGGAACACUACAACGAGGACCGUGAGGACUUAAGAGAAUGCUGGACAAGUGGACACAAACAUCAACUUCAACUUUCUCCACUCCUGUUGUGUGAAACACUGCAGGGACAUUGUGGAGGCAAAGUUCCUGGGAUGUCUGGUAUGAAUAGCUCUCGAUGUCAUGCCUUUGCAUCUCAUUUAGACAAAAUGAGAGUCAUGGGGUCAAAAGGAAGUGCCUGAAGAGCUCAGACACAGACGUGUGGCAGGCACAGACCUGGACAAGGUUUCAAAAACAAUUCUGCUCCACUUAAGGUUCCUAACAGCAGAGUGACGUUUAUAAUCCUGAAAUGGGAGACAAUUGGCAAAUUACAGAAGAACCCAAAGAUCACUGUGGCUAUGCUAACAGAGUUGCAGUCAGGACAGAAAAAGUUCUAGAAAGUCAACCAUCCCUGCAUCCCUGCAUUUGCACAACAGAUGUGCAAAUGAUGCAGUGUGGUGACACUACUCCAGUGUACUAAAUUAACGAAAGAAUGGCUUCAGAACAACUCUGUGACUGUUCUUGAAGGGCCCAGCCAGAGCCUUGACGUAAACCCAAUUGAGCAUCUCUGGAGACACCUUAAAAUGGCUGCCCACCAAUGUUCAGCAAGCAACCUGACAGAACUGGAGAGGAUUUGCAAGGAAGAAUAGCAGGAUCCCCACAUACAGGUGUGAAAAAUUUGUUGCAUCUUUCCCAAAAAGACUCAAGGCUAUAUUAGCCCAAAAAGGUGCUUCUACUAAAUAAUGAGCAAAAGGUCUGAAUACUUGAAGCAGUGUGAUAGUUCACCUUUUCUUUUCUGCUAAAUCUGCAAAAAUGUCAACAAUUUCAGUCAAUAUAUUUCCUAUUUUGACAUUAAUGAGGAGAAAAAUUGACUUAAAUAAUUUGAGCAAAUGGCUGUAAAAUAACAAAAAGUGAA